Molecule: long non-coding RNA, 765 nt
Organism: Galleria mellonella (greater wax moth)
Lineage: Eukaryota; Metazoa; Arthropoda; Insecta; Lepidoptera; Pyralidae
Exons: 2
Source: RefSeq, a predicted model, not a curated record
ACGAGUGAUAAUUUUGUUUACAGUUUUGCGAAAUAUCUAAAAUCAUCAGUGAUUUAACCAUUUAAAUCGCAGUAUAAGUAUAUGAAGAAUGGCUUGGCAGCAUAAAAAAAAAAUCAAUAACUUAAGGACCUUGAUUCCUUCAUUACUGAAGAUUUUUUCUGUACACCGAAGGUUAUGUGCUUAAAUGGAUAUACAUUCUCUAGACACAGAACGAGAGGGCUGCGGACUCGUUGGCAUUGUUCAAAGCAAAAACAAGGCUGUCGCGCCUCCGUCACUACGAUUGAAGGCAUGAUAGUUCGCUGCACGAAUGAACACACUCAUUAAAAUCCCUAAAAUGGCUAAUGCUUGUUAUGAAAUUUAUUUAUUUAUUUUAUUUUAUUUAUAUGCAUUUGUACAUUCACUUAUAGAUAUUAGGUUAUAACAAAAGGUACACAGGCGGACUUAUCCUUUAAAGGAAUUUCUUCCAGUCACCCUCGAGAACCCGAAAGGAGAAAAUAUUUAUAUUUAUUGUAGGAUAUUAUAUACUAUAAAAAGCAUAACAUAUAAGGUGCAAAAUUAAUAUUUUCAAUAAUAAAGAUAUACACAUGUAUAUUUGUAUAUAGUAGUAUAUAUUUGUCUUUUUUUUAAUGCCCUUUACCGAAUGGUUGUUUGGAAAAAAAUACUCAGAGAUAAGGCCGCCUUUUGUACUACACUAUACUUAUUGAAAAUCCUGUAAUAUUGUUCCAAACAAGUGUUGUGUAAAUAAAUAAAAUAAAAUUGUAAGCA